Molecule: ribosomal RNA, 251 nt
Filed under: uncultured bacterium
Lineage: Bacteria
Description: partial 16S ribosomal RNA
Rfam family: Bacterial small subunit ribosomal RNA
Source: RNAcentral
UACGGAGGGUGCGAGCGUUAAUCGGAAUUACUGGGCGUAAAGGGUGCGUAGGUUGUUGUAUAAGUUAACUGUGAAAUACCUGGGCUCAACCUGGGGCGGUCAGUUAAGACUGUAUGACUGGAGUAUGGGAGAGGGUAGUGGAAUUUCCGGUGUAGCGGUGAAAUGCGUAGAUAUCGGAAGGAACACCGGUGGCGAAGGCGGCUACCUGGCCCAAUACUGACACUGAGGCACGAAAGCGUGGGUAGCAAACA